Camellia sinensis is the source of this 170-nucleotide non-coding RNA. NCBI's taxonomy places the organism in Eukaryota, Viridiplantae, Streptophyta, Magnoliopsida, Ericales, Theaceae. The record is from RefSeq and is a predicted model, not a curated record.
AGGAUUUAAUUGAUUUUUGCAAAGAUACGGGUUUGCAAUCCAGUGUUGCUGCCACUAGAAAUGCCACUAUUAAACUAAUUGGUGCUUUACAUAAGUUUGUUGGUCCAGACAUCAAGGGAUUUCUUUCAGAUGUCAAACCUGCUCUUCUAAGUGCACUUGAAGCUGAGUGU